GACGAACGCUGGCGGCGUGCCUAACACAUGCAAGUCGAACGGAGAGAUAUGAGAGCUUGCUCUUGUAAAUCUUAGUGGCGAACGGGUGAGUAACGCGUAAACAACCUGCCCAACGGAUGGGACGAACAGACGGAACGACUGCUAAUACCCAACUAGACUCCGGUUUCGUCAUGAAACCGAACAGGAAAGGUAGGCCUCUCGAAGAAGCUACCGCCGCAGGAGGGGUUUGCGGUUUGAUUAG
This 241-nucleotide ribosomal RNA is filed under the name uncultured bacterium. RNAcentral's name for it is "partial 16S ribosomal RNA". It matches the Rfam family "Bacterial small subunit ribosomal RNA", at positions 28 to 244 of the family's 1533-position model. The record is from RNAcentral.